Aedes aegypti (yellow fever mosquito) is the source of this 1254-nucleotide long non-coding RNA. RefSeq lists it as uncharacterized. The record is from RefSeq and is a predicted model, not a curated record. NCBI's taxonomy places the organism in Eukaryota, Metazoa, Arthropoda, Insecta, Diptera, Culicidae. The transcript is spliced from 3 exons.
AAUGAACAGUCCUUACGAACAUCGAUAAACUGAAGAAAAUUGCAACCUUUGAUCUAUAUUUGCAUCGCAUGCCGCGCCGUGACCAUCGUGACCGCGCGAUGGUUUUCGAUAAGCAGCAAAUUCAAGGACCACAGCAGCAACAGGUGUGAGAAUAAAAAAAAAUCUUUAAACUUUUACUUGCUUUCGUUUGGAGUUUCUUUUUUUAAAUGAAUCGUGAAGAAGCGUGGCUGGUUACCAUGAGGGUGUACCUACCUACCUACUCAAUAAAAAUGCUAAUUUGUUCCGGCGAUGGCGAUGAGUUUGUUUCAUCAUUACACACCUCAACAGACGGAUCAAGUUUAGUUGAGGUGAAGAUUUCGUGGACGGAAUUAUGAUGCGCAGUUAGUAUUCUGGUGGACGUCCCGGGUAAAAAUAGGUUUUACGGGAUGUUGAACGUAGGCAUUAAAUAAAUUUGGUUCCAGUAGCAUCUGAAAGCUUUUUAUCUUGAUUUUCUAAAAAAAAAAAUGAAAACUACGAAAACUCCUAUUUUUAUAUUUAUUAUCGCUUGUGCCACUGUUAACUUAGCUUAACGGCGUUGACAAAAUAAAUGCUUAAAAUUACUUCAAGAAUACUCACAUACCAUCCCGGAUGCAAAUAAAAGCCACGAACUAGGAAGAUAAUACCCAGCUCGAAUCGAUUACGUACGCAAGCAAAACAGCAAUAUUCACACAGCAUCGCAUUACGAAGGAAUCCCGAAAAUAUGCGCAAAAAUGAGGUCACCGCUGAACCUAUAAGAGUCCUCGCACCCCGUGGAGCAUUUCCAGUUCAUAAGCGCAGCGUAAGGGUUCCAGGUUGAUGCAGCCGGCUGGUUCACUCCACAGUACCCGCCUGUUGUGGAAUUCGGACAGUACAAUCCCAGCGACCAGAUUUGUUUCCACAAAAAAGUAUUGGAUGGCACAAACUCGCCGCAAAUAAUCCACUUUCGAAAUCCUGUCGCUGCCACGAUCAACUACAUAAAACUGCAAUCCGAUCAGAACAAAUGGGCAGGAUUCCGGGUGGAAUUGACUGAUGGAGCAAUCGGGACAAGCUUUGUACAACUAGAAGUAUAUGCCACAUACAGUUGGCUAUUUUUUCGUACGGAUGUAUUCAUCGAUAUGCAUUGCACUCCAGUUUUGAGAGUAAUACCUACCGGAAGCAGGAAACGAACGCAAACUCAUGAUGUGAUUUCAUUGGGAUCCAGUACAAAACGAACCGUCUUUUGGGUGUGAAUCUUGU